GACGAACGCUGGCGGCGUGCUUAACACAUGCAAGUCGAGCGGUAAGGCCCUUUCGGGGGUACACGAGCGGCGAACGGUGAGUAACACGUGGGUGACCUGCCCUCAGCUCUGGGAUAAGCCUGGGAAACCGGGUCUAAUACUGGAUAUGACUCCAUGACGCAUGUUGUGGGGUGGAAAGCCUUGUGCGGCUGAGGAUGGGCCCGCGGCCUAUCAGCUUGUUGGUGGGGUGANGGCCCUACCAAGGCGACGACGGGUAGCCGGCCUGAGAGGGCGACCGGCCACACUGGGACUGAGACACGGCCCAGACUCCUACGGGAGGCAGCAGUGGGGAAUCUUGCGCAAUGGGCGAAAGCCUGACGCAGCGACGCCGCGUGAGGGAUGACGGCCU
Molecule: ribosomal RNA, 388 nt
Filed under: uncultured bacterium
Lineage: Bacteria
Description: bacterial SSU rRNA
Rfam family: Bacterial small subunit ribosomal RNA
Source: RNAcentral